This 440-nucleotide ribosomal RNA is filed under the name uncultured bacterium. RNAcentral describes it as "partial 16S ribosomal RNA". It matches the Rfam family "Bacterial small subunit ribosomal RNA", at positions 338 to 795 of the family's 1533-position model. The record is from RNAcentral.
CCUACGGGAGGCAGCAGUGGGGAAUAUUGCACAAUGGGGGAAACCCUGAUGCAGCAACGCCGCGUGAGUGAUGACGGCCUUCGGGUUGUAAAGCUCUGUCUUCAGGGACGAUGAUGACGGUACCUGAGGAGGAAGCCCCGGCUAACUACGUGCCAGCAGCCGCGGUAAUACGUAGGUGGCGAGCGUUGUCCGGAUUUACUGGGCGUAAAGGGGGCGUAGGCGGACUUUUAAGUGAGAUGUGAAAUACCCGGGCUCAACCUGAGUGCUGCAUUUCAAACUGGAAGGCUAGAGUGCAGGAGAGGAGAAUGGAAUUCCUAGUGUAGCGGUGAAAUGCGUAGAGAUUAGGAAGAACACCAGUGGCGAAGGCGAUUUUCUGGACUGUAACUGACGCUGAGGCUCGAAAGCGUGGGGAGCAAACAGGAUUAGAUACCCUUGUAGUC